UACGUAGGGGGCGAGCGUUGUCCGGAUUUACUGGGUGUAAAGGGCGCGUAGGCGGAUCUGUUAGUCAAGGGUGAAAUCCUACAGCUUAACUGUAGAACUGCCUUUGAUACUGCAAAUCUUGAGUUCGAAAGAGAGUAGCGGAAUUCCAGGUGUAGUGGUGAAAUACGUAGAUAUCUGGAAGAACACCAGUGGCGAAGGCGGCUACUUGGUUCGUAACUGACGCUGAGGCGCGAAAGCGUGGGGAGCAAACAGGAUUAGAUACCCCUGUAGUCC
This 273-nucleotide ribosomal RNA is filed under the name uncultured bacterium. Its description in RNAcentral is "partial 16S ribosomal RNA". It matches the Rfam family "Bacterial small subunit ribosomal RNA", at positions 524 to 796 of the family's 1533-position model. The record is from RNAcentral.